GUACACUCCUACGGGAGGCAGCAGUGGGGAAUUUUGGACAAUGGGCGAAAGCCUGAUCCAGCAAUGCCGCGUGAGUGAAGAAGGCCUUCGGGUUGUAAAGCUCUUUUGUCAGGGAAGAAACGGUGAGAGCUAAUAUCUUUUGCUAAUGACGGUACCUGAAGAAUAAGCACCGGCUAACUACGUGCCAGCAGCCGCGGUAAUACGUAGGGUGCAAGCGUUAAUCGGAAUUACUGGGCGUAAAGCGUGCGCAGGCGGUUUUGUAAGUCUGAUGUGAAAUCCCCGGGCUCAACCUGGGAAUUGCAUUGGAGACUGCAAGGCUAUAAUCUGGCAGAGGGGGGUAGAAUUCCACGUGUAGCAGUGAAAUGCGUAGAUAUGUGGAGGAACACCGAUGGCGAAGGCAGCCCCCUGGGUCAAGAUUGACGCUCAUGCACGAAAGCGUGGGGAGCAAACAGGAUUAGAAACCCGGGUAGUCCC
This 474-nucleotide ribosomal RNA is filed under the name uncultured organism. RNAcentral's name for it is "partial 16S ribosomal RNA". It matches the Rfam family "Bacterial small subunit ribosomal RNA", at positions 331 to 797 of the family's 1533-position model. The record is from RNAcentral.